GUGGAAAUAAUUUACUAAAAAUAUUUGCUUUGCAAGCAAAACAUCUGGGCCUAAUAUUCCCAGCUUCUACA
Molecule: transfer RNA, 71 nt
Filed under: Poliometra prolixa
Lineage: Eukaryota; Metazoa; Echinodermata; Crinoidea; Comatulida; Antedonidae
Description: tRNA-Ala
Source: RNAcentral